Molecule: long non-coding RNA, 682 nt
Filed under: Marmota monax (woodchuck)
Lineage: Eukaryota; Metazoa; Chordata; Mammalia; Rodentia; Sciuridae
Source: RNAcentral
CUUCCGGGGAGGCUGAAGAGCCACGGGGAGCCACAGGGACUUCACUUCCACUCUGAGCUGGGACCUGUGCGUCCCCAGUGAACCACCAGAACCACAUGUCACGUGGAAGCAGAGUAGAGAAAUACGCGGCCCAGAAGGCAUGAGGAGGGGAUGUCGGGGUUUACAAAUGGAAAAGGACAAAAUCUGAAGUUUCAAAAAUGCAUAAAUUGGAAAAUUUCCAACAAUCUCUCUGUUCCUAACCCCCAACCCCUUCCUGAUCUACACGAGGGAGCCUGCCUUCUCCAGGUCCUCUGGGGCGCGUCUCUCUGUGUACCUUGUCGGCACCAGCUCACUCUGAGAUGUGACACAAGGAACUGGGAUCUCGGAAGCCCUGCCAGCCCCAAUUCUGAGGUCCUGGAGACUCAUGUGGAGGCCCCAGUGACCUGCGCUUCCCACCCCCAUCCCUCCCUGCAGCGUAUGGGACGAUGCCAGCUGACACACAGGAGGACACAGCCCCCCAGUCCUGUGCCUGAGGACCCACUUUGCACUUCUUGUCAGCAGCAUCUCUGUCUCUCUUGUGGCAGAAGUGCGCUGAGACCCAAGUUGGCAGAUUCUCACAGGCUGGGCCUGGUGCUGGGUGAGACCCCUGCCCCUGCCCUGUUGCUGCUGCUUCUCUGCUGGGCAGGUUUUCACCUGGGAAGGG